This 73-nucleotide transfer RNA is filed under the name Coemansia sp. RSA 1933. RNAcentral describes it as "tRNA-Met". It matches the Rfam family "tRNA". From Rfam's summary of the family: Transfer RNA (tRNA) molecules are approximately 80 nucleotides in length. Their secondary structure includes four short double-helical elements and three loops (D, anti-codon, and T loops). Lineage: Eukaryota; Fungi; Kickxellomycota; Kickxellomycetes; Kickxellales; Kickxellaceae. The record is from RNAcentral.
GCUUCUUUGGCUCAGUCGGCAGAGCGUAGGUCUCAUAAUCCUAAGGUCGCGAGUUCGAAUCUCGCAAGAAGCA